UACGUAGGGGGCUAGCGUUGUCCGGAUUUAUUGGGCGUAAAGAGCGUGUAGGCGGCCAGGUAGGUCUGCUGUGAAAACUCGAGGCUCAACCUCGAGACGUCGGCGGAAACCAUCUGGCUAGAGUCCGGAAGAGGAGAGUGGAAUUCCUGGUGUAGCGGUGAAAUGCGCAGAUAUCAGGAAGAACACCCGUGGCGAAGGCGGCUCUCUGGGGGUUAUCUGACGCUGAGGGACGAAAGCCAGGGGAGCGAACGGG
RNAcentral lists this ribosomal RNA (253 nucleotides) under uncultured bacterium. RNAcentral describes it as "partial 16S ribosomal RNA". It matches the Rfam family "Bacterial small subunit ribosomal RNA", at positions 524 to 776 of the family's 1533-position model. The record is from RNAcentral.